GCGCACGGGUGAGUAAUAUGUAGGAAUCUUCCUAUGGGCGGGGGAUAACCCGAGGAAACUCGGACUAAUACCGCAUAAUCUCUAAGGAGUAAAGGCCGCCGCCUUCGGGCAGCGGUCGCCGAUAGAUGAGCCUACAUCGGAUUAGCUUGUUGGUGGGGUAAAGGCCCACCAAGGCGACGAUCCGUAGCUGGUCUGAGAGGACGGUCAGCCACACUGGGACUGAGACACGGCCCAGACUCC
This 240-nucleotide ribosomal RNA is filed under the name uncultured bacterium. RNAcentral describes it as "partial 16S ribosomal RNA". It matches the Rfam family "Bacterial small subunit ribosomal RNA", at positions 98 to 339 of the family's 1533-position model. The record is from RNAcentral.